CUAUCCUACGGGACGCAGCAGUGAGGAAUAUUGGUCAAUGGGCGGUAGCCUGAACCAGCCAAGUAGCGUGAAGGAUGAAGGUUCUAUGGAUUGUAAACUUCUUUUAUAAAGGAAUAAAGUGAGGCACGUGUGCCUUUUUGUAUGUACUUUAUGAAUAAGGAUCGGCUAGCUCCGUGCCAGCAGCCGCGGUAAUACGGAGGAUCCGAGCGUUAUCCGGAUUUAUUGGGUUUAAAGGGAGCGUAGAUGGUUUGUUAAGUCAGUUGUGAACGUUUGCGGCUCAACUGUAAAAUUGCAAUUGAUACUGG
Molecule: ribosomal RNA, 305 nt
Filed under: uncultured bacterium
Lineage: Bacteria
Description: bacterial SSU rRNA
Rfam family: Bacterial small subunit ribosomal RNA
Source: RNAcentral